CGACAGCGUUCUGAAGAGGACGUCCGCACUUUCGUUAAAGUGCGGACGGCGCUGCUGCAGCUCGGCUCGGGUGCGAUGGAGCGGCGGAGCUUGCUGGACGGACGCCACGGGUCAGACGGACGGGUCUGCAGUCGGUGGAGUCGCCGGCGACGUGGUUGCAGCCUUGCCCAGAAACCUGCAGUUGCAGGUGAGCUCGCUGCCCAGAAACCUGCAACUCCGACCUCCUCCGACCUCGAACGCUGCCCAGAACCGUCCGCCAAGCCUCCGGCCUCCGUCCACCAAGCCCCGAGCCGCCGGCCAAGCCUGGAACGCCGCCGCUGCGUCGCCGUCGACACUUUAGCCAAGUGCGGACGUCCGCUUCAGAACCCGCCCG
This 373-nucleotide long non-coding RNA is filed under the name Rosa chinensis. RNAcentral's name for it is "sRNA RchiOBHm_Chr2g0102581". The record is from RNAcentral. Lineage: Eukaryota; Viridiplantae; Streptophyta; Magnoliopsida; Rosales; Rosaceae.